RNAcentral lists this unclassified non-coding RNA (279 nucleotides) under plant metagenome. RNAcentral's name for it is "partial contains small subunit ribosomal RNA, internal transcribed spacer 1, and 5.8S ribosomal RNA". The record is from RNAcentral.
UUUCCGUAGGUGAACCUGCGGAAGGAUCAUUCUUAUUUAAUCUAUGUGCCAGGGCUGAAGCUGAUCCGAACGUUCUGUCAAGUGUGAGCCGCCUUAUUUAUGACCAUCUCAACACUACAUGUACUUCUGCGACUGUCUCCCUGUAACCUGUUAGGAGUGGGCAUUACGAUUACACCUUUCCUUAGCAUGUAGUGUAGCAUGUACAUUUUGUUUUAGCGAUCCCGCUCUCAAGACAACUUGUAUCAACGGAUCUCAUGUCUCUCGCACCGAUGAAGAACC